AGCGAACGCUGGCGGCAGGCCUAACACAUGCAAGUCGAACGUACUCUUCGGAGUUAGUGGCGGACGGGUGAGUAACACGUGGGAACGUGCCUUUUGGUUCGGAAUAACUCAGGGAAACUUGUGCUAAUACCGAAUGUGCCCUUCGGGGGAAAGAUUUAUCGCCAUUAGAGCGGCACGCGUCUGAUUAGCUAGUUGGUGAG
Molecule: ribosomal RNA, 200 nt
Filed under: uncultured bacterium
Lineage: Bacteria
Description: partial 16S ribosomal RNA
Rfam family: Bacterial small subunit ribosomal RNA
Source: RNAcentral